CCUACGGGUGGCAGCAGUGAGGAAUAUUGGUCAAUGGCCGGAAGGCUGAACCAGCCAUGCCGCGUGAAGGUCAGUGCCCUAUGGGCGUUAAACUUCUUUUGUGCGGGAGCAAUAAUGGUCACGUGUGGCCAGACGAGAGUACCGUACGAAUAAGCAUCGGCUAACUCCGUGCCAGCAGCCGCGGUAAUACGGGGGGUGCAAGCGUUAUCCGGAUUUAUUGGGUUUAAAGGGUGCGUAGGCUGUGAGGUAAGUCAGCGGUGAAAUGCCGCCGCUCAACGGGGUGAAGUGCCAUUGAUACUGGCUUGCUGGAAUGCGGAUGCGGUGGGAGGAAUGUGUGGUGUAGCGGUGAAAUGCAUAGAUAUCACACAGAACACCGAUUGCGAAGGCAGCUCACGAAGCCGCGAUUGACGCUGAUGCACGAAAGCGUGGGUAUCAAACAGGAUUAGAUACCCGAGUAGUC
RNAcentral lists this ribosomal RNA (460 nucleotides) under uncultured bacterium. Its description in RNAcentral is "partial 16S ribosomal RNA". It matches the Rfam family "Bacterial small subunit ribosomal RNA", at positions 338 to 795 of the family's 1533-position model. The record is from RNAcentral.